This 487-nucleotide ribosomal RNA is filed under the name Candida tropicalis. RNAcentral describes it as "eukaryotic LSU rRNA". The stretch from base 141 to 294 matches the Rfam family "5.8S ribosomal RNA". The record is from RNAcentral. Lineage: Eukaryota; Fungi; Ascomycota; Pichiomycetes; Serinales; Debaryomycetaceae.
AAAGGGAUUUGCUAUUGCACCACAUGUGUUUUUUAUUGAACAAAUUUCUUUGGUGGCGGGAGCAAUCCUACCGCCAGAGGUUAUAACUAAACCAAACUUUUUAUUUACAGUCAAACUUGAUUUAUUAUUACAAUAGUCAAAACUUUCAACAACGGAUCUCUUGGUUCUCGCAUCGAUGAAGAACGCAGCGAAAUGCGAUACGUAAUAUGAAUUGCAGAUAUUCGUGAAUCAUCGAAUCUUUGAACGCACAUUGCGCCCUUUGGUAUUCCAAAGGGCAUGCCUGUUUGAGCGUCAUUUCUCCCUCAAACCCCCGGGUUUGGUGUUGAGCAAUACGCUAGGUUUGUUUGAAAGAAUUUAACGGGAAAACUUAUUUUAAGCGACUUAGGUUUAUCCAAAACCCCUAAUUUGGUAAGGGCCCCCCCCAUUUAAUUCCUAACUUUUAACCCCAAUCCAGGAAGAAUACCCCCUGAACUUAAACCUAACCAAG